AACUUCAUCUUCAUACACCUCUGCUGCAAUCUCCUCUCUCCCAGGUUUGGAUACAUAAAGGAACUGUGGAACACAUAGGAGAGAAGCACAUGUAAAGAAGCUACAAUAAUAAAGAGGAAACCCCAACAAUCAGACGAACUCCUAUGAGUAAACACUUGGCAACAGCGGUGAGUUCCACCAACAUUUUAUGAUAUCUAAGUAAAUGUAGCAUGUUAGCUUAAUACAUAUUAGCAUUUAGCAUACAUUAGCAUACUGGCUGGCUUUCAAGCAGAACUAGACCAUGCUGAGUUAGCGGUUAUCGUUAGCAUUAUAUAACGAGGUCUUAUAUUUAACAUAAAGUCGAGUUACAUGCUUAAAGUAGUUAAAGAUAAAGCUAACAAGUUUGAGAAUACUGUGAGAUAUCAUUUUGCCUCAUAACUUUUGCACUGUCCACUUCCUGCUGUGACAAAACAAAUUUCCCACGUGUGGGACUAAUAAAGGUUAUCUUAUCUUAUCUUAGAUUUUUACAGCAUGUCAUCCAAUCAGAAAAUAAGUGGUUUGAGUCCCAGCUACUCUGAAUGUUGAAAUAUCCAUGGGCAAGAUACAGAACACAGGGUUAUCCCUGAUGCAUCCAUUCUACUCUGGCACUAUGGACAUAAAAAUGUGGAAUACCUUGGGAACAAAGAGCAGGGCGAGUGUCACAGUGAUGGUGACAUGGGUGUGUGUGAAGGAG
Molecule: long non-coding RNA, 712 nt
Organism: Haplochromis burtoni (Burton's mouthbrooder)
Lineage: Eukaryota; Metazoa; Chordata; Actinopteri; Cichliformes; Cichlidae
Exons: 3
Source: RefSeq, a predicted model, not a curated record